This 82-nucleotide transfer RNA is filed under the name Cubamyces sp. BRFM 1775. RNAcentral's name for it is "Leiotrametes sp. BRFM 1775 tRNA-His". It matches the Rfam family "tRNA". From Rfam's summary of the family: Transfer RNA (tRNA) molecules are approximately 80 nucleotides in length. Their secondary structure includes four short double-helical elements and three loops (D, anti-codon, and T loops). RNAcentral also lists the same sequence under 1 other name. The record is from RNAcentral. Lineage: Eukaryota; Fungi; Basidiomycota; Agaricomycetes; Polyporales; Polyporaceae.
GUCCUUGUCGAUUAGUGGUUAGAUCAUCACGUUGUGGUAACACAAAUCCGUGAAGACGGAGGCUCGAAUCCUCCCUGGGACA